AUACGAAUGGAGCGAGCGUUGUUCGGAAUCAUUGGGCGUAAAGCGUAUGUAGGCGGACUAGAAAGUCAGAAGUGAAAUCCCGAGGCUCAACCUCGGAAUUGUUUUUGAAACUCCUGGUCUCGAGUCCCGGAGGGGUUGACGGAAUUCCUAGUGUAGAGGUGAAAUUCGCAGAUAUUAGGAGGAACACCAGUGGCGUAGGCGGUCAACUGGACGGGUACUGACGCUGAGAUACGAAAGCGUGGGGAGCAAACAGGAUUAGAUACCCUAGUAGUCC
This 274-nucleotide ribosomal RNA is filed under the name uncultured bacterium. RNAcentral's name for it is "partial 16S ribosomal RNA". It matches the Rfam family "Bacterial small subunit ribosomal RNA", at positions 523 to 796 of the family's 1533-position model. The record is from RNAcentral.